This 465-nucleotide ribosomal RNA is filed under the name uncultured bacterium. Its description in RNAcentral is "partial 16S ribosomal RNA". It matches the Rfam family "Bacterial small subunit ribosomal RNA", at positions 28 to 507 of the family's 1533-position model. The record is from RNAcentral.
GACGAACGCUGGCGGCGUGCUUAACACAUGCAAGUCGAACGGAAAGGCCCCUUUGGGGGUACUCGAGUGGCGAACGGGGGAGUAACACGUUGGUAACCUGCCCUUGACUUCGGGAUAACCUCAGGAAACUGGGGCUAAUACCGGAUAGGAAUCCUUGCUGCAUGGUGGGGGUUGGAAAGCUUCGGCGGUUUUGGAUGGACUCGCGGCUUAUCAGCUUGUUGGUGGGGUAGUGGCUUACCAAGGCUUUGACGGGUAGCCGGCCUGAGAGGGCGACCGGCCACAUUGGGACUGAGAUACGGCCCAGACUCCUACGGGAGGCAGCAGUGGGGAAUAUUGCACAAUGGGCGGAAGCCUGAUGCAGCAACGCCGCGUGCGGGAUGACGGCCUUCGGGUUGUAAACCGCUUUCAGCAGGGGCGAAGCUUGUGGUGACGGUACCUGCAGAAGAAGCACCGGCUAACUACGUG